AAUCAACGCUGGCGGCGUGCCUCAGACAUGCAAGUCGAACGAUUAAAGCUCUCUUCGGAGAGUGCAUAGAGUGGCGCACGGGUGAGUAACACGUAAGUAAUCUACCUUCGAGUGGGGAAUAACGUCCGGAAACGGACGCUAAUACCGCAUAAUGCAGCGGCAUCGUAAGAUGACAGUUGUUAAAGAUUUAUCGCUUGAAGAGGAGCUUGCGGCAGAUUAGCUAGUUGGUAAGGUAAUGGCUUACCAAGGCUACGAUCUGUAACCGGUCUUAGAGGACGGUCGGUCACACUGACACUGAAUAACGGGUCAGACUCCUACGGGAGGCAGCAGUCGGGAAUUUUGGGCAAUGGGCGAAAGCCUGACCCAGCAACGCCGCGUGAAGGAUGAAGUAUUUCGGUAUGUAAACUUCGAAAGAAUAGGAAGAAUAAAUGACGGUACUAUUUAAAGGUCCGGCUAACUACGUG
RNAcentral lists this ribosomal RNA (464 nucleotides) under uncultured bacterium. Its description in RNAcentral is "bacterial SSU rRNA". It matches the Rfam family "Bacterial small subunit ribosomal RNA", at positions 32 to 507 of the family's 1533-position model. The record is from RNAcentral.